GCCAUCCCGGCUUACCAAACCGAUGCAAACUCCGAAUACCGAAGAAUGUUAUCACGGGAGACACACGGCGGGUGCUAACGUCCGUCGUGAAGAGGGAAACAACCCAGACCGCCAGCUAAGGUCCCAAAGUCAUGGUUAAGUGGGAAACGAUGUGGGAAGGCAUAGACAGCCAGGAUGUUGGCUUAGAAGCAGCCAUCAUUUAAAGAAAGCGUAAUAGCUCACUGGUCGAGUCGGCCUGCGCGGAAGAUGUAACGGGGCUAAACCAUGCACCGAAGCUGCGGCAGCGACGCUUAGGCGUUGUUGGGUAGGGGAGCGUUCUGUAAGC
Molecule: ribosomal RNA, 325 nt
Filed under: Serratia marcescens
Lineage: Bacteria; Pseudomonadati; Pseudomonadota; Gammaproteobacteria; Enterobacterales; Yersiniaceae
Description: bacterial LSU rRNA
Rfam family: Bacterial large subunit ribosomal RNA
Source: RNAcentral